This 478-nucleotide ribosomal RNA is filed under the name uncultured bacterium. RNAcentral describes it as "bacterial SSU rRNA". It matches the Rfam family "Bacterial small subunit ribosomal RNA", at positions 28 to 524 of the family's 1533-position model. The record is from RNAcentral.
GACGAACGCUGGCGGCGUGCUUAACACAUGCAAGUCGAGCGGUAAGGCCCUUUGGGGUACACGAGCGGCGAACGGGUGAGUAACACGUGGGUGACCUGCCCCCUACUCUGGGAUAAGCCUGGGAAACUGGGUCUAAUACCGGAUAUGACCUGCGAUUGCAUGAUUGUGGGUGGAAAGUUUUUCGGUGGGGGAUGGGCCCGCGGCCUAUCAGCUUGUUGGUGGGGUGAUGGCCUACCAAGGCGACGACGGGUAGCCGGCCUGAGAGGGCGACCGGCCACACUGGGACUGAGACACGGCCCAGACUCCUACGGGAGGCAGCAGUGGGGAAUAUUGCGCAAUGGGCGGAAGCCUGACGCAGCGACGCCGCGUGGGGGAUGACGGCCUUCGGGUUGUAAACCUCUUUCAGCACAGACGAAGCGCAAGUGACGGUACGUGCAGAAGAAGCACCGGCCAACUACGUGCCAGCAGCCGCAGUAAA